Molecule: ribosomal RNA, 447 nt
Filed under: Salmonella enterica subsp. enterica serovar Typhimurium
Lineage: Bacteria; Pseudomonadati; Pseudomonadota; Gammaproteobacteria; Enterobacterales; Enterobacteriaceae
Description: bacterial SSU rRNA
Rfam family: Bacterial small subunit ribosomal RNA
Source: RNAcentral
CAUCCACAGAUCUUUCCAGUGAUGGAUUGGUGCCUUCGGGUACUGUGUGACAGGUGCUGCUUGGCUGUCGUCAGCUCGUGUUGUGAAAUGUUGGGUUAUGUCCCGCUACGAGCGCAACCCUUAUCCUUUGUUGCCAGCGAUUAGGCCGGGAACUCAAAGGAGACUGCCAGUGAUAAACUGGAGGAAGGUGGGGAUGACGUCAAGUCAUCAUGGCCCUUACGACCAGGGCUACACACGUGCUACAAUGGCGCAUACAAAGAGAAGCGACCUCGCGAGAGCAAGCGGACCUCAUAAAGUGCGUCGUAGUCCGGAUUGGAGUCUGCAACUCGACUCCAUGAAGUCGGAAUCGCUAGUAAUCGUGGAUCAGAAUGCCACGGUGAAUACGUUCCCGGGCCUUGUACACACCGCCCGUCACACCAUGGGAGUGGGUUGCAAAAGAAGUAGGUA